AGUGAACGCUGGCGGUAGGCCUAACACAUGCAAGUCGAACGGCAGCACAGUAAGAGCUUGCUCUUACGGGUGGCGAGUGGCGGACGGGUGAGGAAUACAUCGGAAUCUACUUUUUCGUGGGGGAUAACGUAGGGAAACUUACGCUAAUACCGCAUACGACCUACGGGUGAAAGCAGGGGAUCUUCUGACCUUGCGCGAUUGAAUGAGCCGAUGUCGGAUUAGCUAGUUGGCGGGGUAACGGCCCACCAAGGCGACGAUCCGUAGCUGGUCUGAGAGGAGGAUCGGCGACACGGGAAGUGAGACACGGUCCAGACGCCUACGGGAGGCACCAGUGGGGAAUAUUGGACAAUGGUGGGAAGCCUGAUCCAGCGAGACGACGUGGGUGAAGAAGGCGUUCGGGUUGGAAAGCCCGUUUGUUGGGAAAGAAAAGCAGCAGGUUAAGACCCCGCUGUUGUGACGGUACCCAAAGAAUAAGCACCGGCUAACUUCGUG
This 492-nucleotide ribosomal RNA is filed under the name uncultured bacterium. Its description in RNAcentral is "partial 16S ribosomal RNA". It matches the Rfam family "Bacterial small subunit ribosomal RNA", at positions 29 to 507 of the family's 1533-position model. The record is from RNAcentral.